Molecule: ribosomal RNA, 468 nt
Filed under: uncultured bacterium
Lineage: Bacteria
Description: partial 16S ribosomal RNA
Rfam family: Bacterial small subunit ribosomal RNA
Source: RNAcentral
GACGAACGCUGGCGGCGUGCUUAACACAUGCAAGUCGAACGGAAAGGCCCUGCUUUUGUGGGGUGCUCGAGUGGCGAACGGGUGAGUAACACGUGAGUAACCUGCCCUUGACUUUGGGAUAACUUCAGGAAACUGGGGCUAAUACCGGAUAGGAGCUCCUGCUGCAUGGUGGGGGUUGGAAAGUUUCGGCGGUUGGGGAUGGACCCGCGGCUUAUCAGCUUGUUGGUGGGGUAGUGGCUUACCAAGGCUUUGACGGGUAGCCGGCCUGAGAGGGUGACCGGCCACAUUGGGACUGAGAUACGGCCCAGACUACUACGGGAGGCAGCGGUGGGGAAUAUUGCACAAUGGGCGGAAGCCUGAUGCAGCAACGCCGCGUGCGGGAUGACGGCCUUCGGGUUGUAAACCGCUUUCGCCUGUGACGAAGCGUGAGUGACGGUAAUGGGUAAAGAAGCACCGGCUAACUACGUG